Non-coding RNA from Arachis ipaensis, 211 nucleotides. NCBI's taxonomy places the organism in Eukaryota, Viridiplantae, Streptophyta, Magnoliopsida, Fabales, Fabaceae. The record is from RefSeq and is a predicted model, not a curated record.
CUGGUUGCCAAAAAAUGGUGUGGUUGCUUCUGGAGGUCGCCGCCGGAGCUGCUGCUCGAUUCUGCCAUUCCUUUUCAUCACAGUUUGUUGCUGAGCCACUGGAGAUUCUGGCCACUGACGGAGCCGUUGCCAGGUUGAUAUGGAGCUGAGGCUACUUCGUUUUGUUAAUUCAGAGUUAGAAUCCGAUUUGCUUAUGCCUCUUGUAGCUAUU